GGCAGUGCGUGGGCUGAGACGUUUCCGGGGGUCCUCUGACCGGGGUUGGAGCAGCUACUGCGUCUUUAUGGGUGGAGGAACAUUGCUUUAUUCAAACAGGCUUGAGUGACAACUUGAGGACAAGGACACUUUGCCAAGAUUUUACGCAGCGGCUGGCAGGGCCAGAGAGGCAGCAUGGUGUGGCAGGAGAAUGAGGACCUGCGCAAGCAAUUGGUUGAAGCCUCAGAGUUAUUGAAAUCCCAGGCCAAAGAACUCAAAGAUGCCCAUCAGCAGCAAAAGCUGGCCCUGCAGGACUUCUUGGAGCUCGGUGAGCUGGUAGCAGAGCUCUGCUCCCAGAAGCAGAAGGUGUGGGACAAGGAGGGGAGAUGGAGGUGGCCAUGCAGAAAGUCAACACGAUGUGGCAGGAGAGCUGAAGAUCCAAGAAGCUCAGAAAGAGGAAGCUGUUUAUAUGGUUCAGUGAUGGUAUUGAUUGGGCUUUUUAAAAUGUUUCAUUAUUACACUUUAAGUUCUGGGGUACUUUGUAUGACCUUAAUAAAACAUCUUUGAGGCCGGG
Molecule: long non-coding RNA, 553 nt
Organism: Pan troglodytes (chimpanzee)
Lineage: Eukaryota; Metazoa; Chordata; Mammalia; Primates; Hominidae
Exons: 3
Source: RefSeq, a predicted model, not a curated record